Molecule: ribosomal RNA, 279 nt
Filed under: uncultured bacterium
Lineage: Bacteria
Description: partial 16S ribosomal RNA
Rfam family: Bacterial small subunit ribosomal RNA
Source: RNAcentral
UGCCAGCAGCCGCGGUAAUACGGAGGGGGUUAGCGUUGUUCGGAAUUAUUGGGCGUAAAGGGUGCGUAGGCGGAUUAGUAAGUUAGGGGUGAAAUCCCGGGGCUCAACCCCGGAACUGCCUCUAAUACUGCUAGUCUUGAGUUCGAGAGAGGUGAGUGGAAUUCCGAGUGUAGAGGUGAAAUUCGUAGAUAUUCGGGGGAACACCAGUGGCGAAGGCGGCUCACUGGCUCGAUACUGACGCUGAGGUGCGAAAGCUAGGGUAGCGAACAGGAUUAGAUA